GACGUAGGGCGCGAGCGUUGUCCGGAUUUAUUGGGCGUAAAGAGCGUGUAGGCGGCCAGGUAGGUCAGCUGUGAAAACUCGAGGCUCAACCUCGAGACGCCGGUUGAAACCAUCUGGCUAGAGUCCGGAAGAGGAGAGUGGAAUUCCUGGUGUAGCGGUGAAAUGCGCAGAUAUCAGGAGGAACACCGGUGGCGAAGGCGGUUCUCUGGGCCUUACCUGACGCUGAGGAGCGAAAGCGUGGGGAGCGAACAGG
Molecule: ribosomal RNA, 253 nt
Filed under: uncultured bacterium
Lineage: Bacteria
Description: partial 16S ribosomal RNA
Rfam family: Bacterial small subunit ribosomal RNA
Source: RNAcentral